This 508-nucleotide ribosomal RNA is filed under the name Bifidobacterium adolescentis. RNAcentral describes it as "bacterial SSU rRNA". It matches the Rfam family "Bacterial small subunit ribosomal RNA", at positions 193 to 711 of the family's 1533-position model. Lineage: Bacteria; Bacillati; Actinomycetota; Actinomycetes; Bifidobacteriales; Bifidobacteriaceae. The record is from RNAcentral.
UUCUUCUGGGAAAGAUUCAUCGGUAUGGGAUGGGGUCGCGUCCUAUCAGCUUGAUGGCGGGGUAACGGCCCACCAUGGCUUCGACGGGUAGCCGGCCUGAGAGGGCGACCGGCCACAUUGGGACUGAGAUACGGCCCAGACUCCUACGGGAGGCAGCAGUGGGGAAUAUUGCACAAUGGGCGCAAGCCUGAUGCAGCGACGCCGCGUGCGGGAUGACGGCCUUCGGGUUGUAAACCGCUUUUGACUGGGAGCAAGCCCUUCGGGGUGAGUGUACCUUUCGAAUAAGCACCGGCUAACUACGUGCCAGCAGCCGCGGUAAUACGUAGGGUGCAAGCGUUAUCCGGAAUUAUUGGGCGUAAAGGGCUCGUAGGCGGUUCGUCGCGUCCGGUGUGAAAGUCCAUCGCUUAACGGUGGAUCCGCGCCGGGUACGGGCGGGCUUGAGUGCGGUAGGGGAGACUGGAAUUCCCGGUGUAACGGUGGAAUGUGUAGAUAUCGGAAAAGAACACCA